Dromaius novaehollandiae (emu) is the source of this 970-nucleotide long non-coding RNA. RefSeq lists it as uncharacterized. The record is from RefSeq and is a predicted model, not a curated record. The transcript is spliced from 2 exons. NCBI's taxonomy places the organism in Eukaryota, Metazoa, Chordata, Aves, Casuariiformes, Dromaiidae.
CGUAUACAGAUACAUAACACAUUUUCAAUUGUACAAUAAAAAAGCAGAUAAGGAGCUUGAAUUUCUUUGGAUGUGCUCCUACACGGACAUUAUCCGCAGUUUAAGGACACGGGGUGAGCUGCACAGCUAACACACACGCACACGCGAGGAUGAAUGCAGGUGCGGGUGCGUUUUGCCUGUGUUCCUCACGAACGCCCAUCGCCUACCGCGUGUGCAUGUGUGCAUGCACUGCUCUUCCCCGGCUCGCUCGCACGCACACACAGCUCCGCCAGGCAAGACUCCAGACAAAGAAAGAAAGAGAAAAACGCCGUCUUACUUUUUCCUCCUUUUUUUUUUUUCCUCUCUCCUCCCUGCCGCCUCAAUUUCGGGACUCCAGCGGGACUGGAAUUCUUUGGAAGAGAUUAUGAAAAGCAACUUAACAACCCAGCGAGCGCCGAACGCCGCCGCGCAGAGGGGCCGAGCUUUGCCAGCCGAGCCGGGGAGGAACAAAAGCCCAGCGCCGAGAGCGGAGCCGAAGAGCUCUCGUAAAUCCUGAACUGUCAGCGCGACAGCGGAUGAUUCAGUGGGGAUUUAGCCAGGCUUCAGACCCAUAAAAAGAGCCAGAGCCUGCUCCGGUGCCAGCGACCGUCCAGUCCACCAGCGGUUUUAGCUGGAGAAGGGCCAUGGCGAGACCCUGCCGGCCCCUCCGGCGGUCUGGACAAGAGCAAUGAGAGCUCUGAGCCGGAGGAGGACGUGCUGGACCAGGCGAUGCGCUGGGCUGGCGCUGGGUGUCCCGCGCCGGGCGAGGGUGCAGGAGCGAGGGAGAGCUGUGCUGCCUCUGAGCCUCUGCUCGCCUGUGACAUUGUGCUCACUUGGGCUUUUUUUUUUAAUUGUCUUGAUGUCCCACAUUUGCAUAAUCCCCACAAUGCAGCGCAGCAGGACUUUUGCUCUGAGCUAAUAAACAGACGACAAAAAUAAAUGUGUCAUGUAA